This 457-nucleotide ribosomal RNA is filed under the name uncultured bacterium. RNAcentral describes it as "bacterial SSU rRNA". It matches the Rfam family "Bacterial small subunit ribosomal RNA", at positions 790 to 1233 of the family's 1533-position model. The record is from RNAcentral.
GUAGUCCACGCUGUAAACGGUGGGUACUAGGUGUGGGGUCCAUUCCACGGGUUCCGUGCCGUAGCUAACGCUUUAAAGUACCCCGCCUGGGGAGUACGGCCGCAAGGGCUAAAACUCAAAGGAAUUGACGGGGCCCCGCACAAGCGGGCGGAGCAUGCGGAUUAAUUCGAUGCAACGCGUAGAACCUUACCUGGGUUUGACAUGGAUCGGGAGUGCUCAGAGAUGGGUGUGCCUCUUUUGGGGUCGGUUCACAGGUGGUGCAUGGCUGUCGUCAGCUCGUGUCGUGAGAUGUUGGGUUAAGUCCCGCAACGAGCGCAACCCUUGUUCACUGUUGCCAGCACGUUAUGGUGGGGACUCAGUGGAGACCGCCGGGGUCAACUCGGGAGGAAGGUGGGGGAUGGACGUCAAGUCAUCAUGCCCCCUUAUCGUCCAGGGGCUUCGACGCAUGCUACAAUGG